GGGGCUAAACCAUGCACCGAAGCUGCGGCAGCGACACUCAGGUGUUGUUGGGUAGGGGAGCGUUCUGUAAGCCUGCGAAGGUGGCCUGUGAGGGUUGCUGGAGGUAUCAGAAGUGCGAAUGCUGACAUAAGUAACGAUAAAGCGGGUGAAAAGCCCGCUCGCCGGAAGACCAAGGGUUCCUGUCCAACGUUAAUCGGGGCAGGGUGAGUCGACCCCUAAGGCGAGGCCGAAAGGCGUAGUCGAUGGGAAACGGGUUAAUAUUCCCGUACUUGGUGUUACUGCGAAGGGGGGACGGAGAAGGCUAUGUUGGCCGGGCGACGGUUGUCCCGGUUUAAGCGUGUAGGUGUGUGUUCCAGGUAAAUCCGGUUCACUUUAACACUGAGGCGUGAUGACGAGGCACUACGGUGCUGAAGCAACAAAUGCCCUGCUUCCAGGAAAAGCCUCUAAGCAUCAGGUAACAUCAAAUCGUACCCCAAACCGACACAGGUGGUCAGGUAGAGAAUACCAAGGCGCUUGAGAGAACUCGGGUGAAGGAACUAGGCAAAAUGGUGCCGUAACUUCGGGAGAAGGCACGCUGACACGUAGGUGAAGUGAUUUACUCAUGGAGCUGAAGUCAGUCGAAGAUACCAGCUGGCUGCAACUGUUUAUUAAAAACACAGCACUGUGCAAACACGAAAGUGGACGUAUACGGUGUGACGCCUGCCCGGUGCCGGAAGGUUAAUUGAUGGGGUCAGCGCAAGCGAAGCUCCUGAUCGAAGCCCCGGUAAACGGCGGCCGUAACUAUAACGGUCCUAAGGUAGCGAAAUUCCUUGUCGGGUAAGUUCCGACCUGCACGAAUGGCGUAAUGAUGGCCAGGCUGUCUCCACCCGAGACUCAGUGAAAUUGAACUCGCUGUGAAGAUGCAGUGUACCCGCGGCAAGACGGAAAGACCCCGUGAACCUUUACUAUAGCUUGACACUGAACAUUGAGCCUUGAUGUGUAGGAUAGGUGGGAGGCUUUGAAGCGUGGACGCCAGUCUGCGUGGAGCCGACCUUGAAAUACCACCCUUUAAUGUUUGAUGUUCUAACGUGGACCCGUGAUCCGGGUUGCGGACAGUGUCUGGUGGGUAGUUUGACUGGGGCGGUCUCCUCCUAAAGAGUAACGGAGGAGCACGAAGGUUGGCUAAUCCUGGUCGGACAUCAGGAGGUUAGUGCAAUGGCAUAAGCCAGCUUGACUGCGAGCGUGACGGCGCGAGCAGGUGCGAAAGCAGGUCAUAGUGAUCCGGUGGUUCUGAAUGGAAGGGCCAUCGCUCAACGGAUAAAAGGUACU
Molecule: ribosomal RNA, 1308 nt
Filed under: Salmonella enterica
Lineage: Bacteria; Pseudomonadati; Pseudomonadota; Gammaproteobacteria; Enterobacterales; Enterobacteriaceae
Description: partial 23S ribosomal RNA
Rfam family: Bacterial large subunit ribosomal RNA
Source: RNAcentral